AUUCCGUCAGUAACUGCGAGUGAAGCCGGAAGAGCUCAGACUGAAAAUCUUCGGAGUUGUAGUCUGGAGAGGUAGCGCCAGUGGGGUAAAGACGGGCAAAGUGUUGUGGAAUCAACCGCCGAGGAGGGUGAAAGCCCCGUUCAUGCCUGAAAUUUGCCCCCGUCGGUGCGCCUUCUACGAGUCGAGUUGUUUGGGAUUGCAGCUCUAAGUGGGUGGUAAAUUCCAUCUAAAGCUAAAUAUGGGUGGGAGACCGAUAGCGAACAAGUACCGUGAGGGAAAGAUGAAAAGAACUUUGAAAAGAGAGUUAAAUAGUACCUGAAAUUGCUGAAAAGGAAUCGAUAGGAAGCAGUGUUGGUUCGUCGUCAUCUUCUGGCUCUGCGUGCAGGGUUGGGCGUGGCGGCGGGCAUGUCAGGCUUCUUUGUGUGUGCGGGAAAGGGGGGKGGGUCUUCGGACCUGUCUUUCCUGUCGUGCGUGCGAAGGACCUCUGACGAAAUGCUUCUUAUCAUCCCGUCUUGAAACACGGACCAAGGAGUCUAACAUGUGUGCGAGUACUCGGAGUGAGACCUCCCAGUGCGUAAUUAACGUAAAGACAGGGCAACCUGUUGAGGUAGGAAGCGCAAGCUGCACUAUCGACCGACACUGAUCCUUCGGGUGAAGAGUUUGAGUGUGAGCAUACCUGUUGGGACCCGAAAGAUGGUGAACUAUGCCUGAGUAGGCCGAAGCCAGGGGAAACUCUGGUGGAGGGCCGUAGCGGUUCUAACGUGCAAAUUGAUCGUCGAACUUGGGUAUAGGGGCGAAAGACUAAUCGAACCAUCUAGUAGCUGGUUCCUCCCGAAAUUUCCCUCAGGAUAGCUGCAACCGAACAGUUUUAUCAGGUAAAGCGAAUGAUUAGUGGACUUGGGGGCAUUUUGCCCUUGACCAAUUCUCAAACUUUAAAUGGGUAAGAGCCCUGGGUUGCUUAAUUGAACCCGGCGGUUGAAUGACGGUUGCUAGUGGGCCAAUCCGGGUAAGCUGGAUUGGCGAUGCGGGAUGCUCCGAACGUCAAGUUAAAGUGCCAAAGUAUUCGCUAACCUAGAACCCACAAAAGGUGUUGGUUCAUUAAGACAGCAGGACGGUGGCCAUGGAAGUCGGAACCCGCUAAGGAGUGU
RNAcentral lists this ribosomal RNA (1148 nucleotides) under Segregatospumella dracosaxi. RNAcentral describes it as "eukaryotic LSU rRNA". It matches the Rfam family "Eukaryotic large subunit ribosomal RNA", at positions 74 to 1281 of the family's 3401-position model. Lineage: Eukaryota; Chrysophyceae; Segregatospumellales; Segregatospumellaceae. The record is from RNAcentral.